GACGAACGCUGGCGGCGUGCCUAAUACAUGCAAGUAGAACGCUGAAGGAGGAGCUUGCUCUUCUGGAUGAGUUGCGAACGGGUGAGUAACGCGUAGGUAACCUGCCUGGUAGCGGGGGAUAACUAUUGGAAACGAUAGCUAAUACCGCAUAAUAGUAGAUGUUGCAUGAUAUUUACUUAAAAGGUGCAAUUGCACCACUACCAGAUGGACCUGCGUUGUAUUAGCUAGUUGGUGGGGUAACGGCUCACCAAGGCGACGAUACAUAGCCGACCUGAGAAGGUGAUCGGCCACACUGGGACUGAGACACGGCCCAGACUCCUACGGGAGGCAGCAGUAGGGAAUCUUCGGCAAUGGACGAAAGUCUGACCGAGCAACGCCGCGUGAGUGAAGAAGGUUUUCGGAUCGUAAAGCUCUGUUGUAAGAGAAGAACGAGCGUGAGAGUGGAAAGUUCACACUGUGACGGUAUCUUACCAGAAAGGGACGGCUAACUACGUG
Molecule: ribosomal RNA, 495 nt
Filed under: uncultured bacterium
Lineage: Bacteria
Description: partial 16S ribosomal RNA
Rfam family: Bacterial small subunit ribosomal RNA
Source: RNAcentral